UUAGCAUCAUAAACACUAAUCCCUAUCAGUGCUCCAUCUAGCCAAAACAAAGGGGUGUUUAUAGAAUUUUGAUUGGUUCUGGGACCAUCUAUUUGAAAACAAACCACUUUUGAUUGGUUGGAGCACAGCAAGUUAUUUGGAGAACAGGAAGUUUUUUUGUAAACAAUUUGGUUUCAGCAACUUAAAUUGAGCUAAAUUUUUAGGUAUAAUUCAGCAACAUUAAUUCUAGUGUCAAAUGUCUUGAAAUUCUUUCAGCACAUGAACUAUUGUGUGAUGCAAAAACAAUGUGUGUUUACUACAAUGUGUAAAUCAACAAUAAGUUUGUUGCAAAGAAGAUUCAAAGUGGGUGGUUAAAGUGAAUGCUGAAGAACAGCUGUAACAGGUUAAACCCCAAGGUGAAAUUUACAUUGAUCGGAAGAUCCAUUGGACAGAAUGUGCAUCAUCGCCUGCCAAAAAAGGGAGCAAAAAGGGGACUACCUGAUGUAUGGACAUGUAUACCAGGCCAACUUGAGGGGAACAGGAGUGGGAAACCGUGCCCUGUAGCUUGUCCUUGACUAAGAAAAGAUGGAUUUGUUGAGAGGACCUGAUCUCAAAUGAGAUCAUGCACGAGAAGCGCCUCGCAGACCAUGACAGUAGUAUUCAGACCUGAUCAGCUGGUGAAGUGCUCUAUAAAGGGUUGUUUAUGAAUGCAUUCUUUGUAAGGAACAGUGUAUAACAACAAAUAUAGUGACAGGGGCUAAGCUGCUAAAUAUUGUCAGAAUGUAUGCAGUGAUUUUCUUUGGAAAUUUAAAACAACCUGUAUGUACUGGCUCUCAGAAGGGCAUGUUUUAGCGCAAUAAUGAACAAAAAAAGGAAGAUCUUAAAAAUAAGGUAUAGAUUUAUAUAAAUUUCAUGAAUACUGUUCAUUUAUCAUAUAUUAGGAUCCAGAAUAUGAUUGAAUUGAAUGUGAUGCUUUUAUCCAUAUUAAAAAGGGAUUUGGAAUUAAUGUAAUAUAUAAAAAUCUAGUAAAUGAUAGGGAAAACAUUUCAGCUUAAGGAGGGGAAAUCUUUAAUAUUUUUGAAGCGGAAACCACCUGUAUUUGGCUGUUAAUCAGUUACCGAUAAUCAGAGGGGAGAAAAAUCACUGGUAUUAGCUUGAUAUUUUCAAUUGUUAAUUCCAGAUAGGCAAUAGCCCGUUUGAAUCCUCUCUUUUAUGUAGAUAUGUAACAUUUGUUUUUGUUUUUUAAGGUUUAACAUUCUAAUAAAAGUGUGUAUUUAUCUAUUGAAUUGUACUUUUUGUUUUUUAUGUAUGUGUUUACACUAACCUUUCAUUUAAAGAAUGAAUGCUGACUUCAAAAUGCUGGGAUUUUGUUAAUUUGGUUAAUUUUUAAGCAUAUUAAUUUGAAGUGAUGAAAAGUACACUUGAGCGUAUAAUGCGCUUAAAAAAUUC
Molecule: long non-coding RNA, 1428 nt
Organism: Dreissena polymorpha
Lineage: Eukaryota; Metazoa; Mollusca; Bivalvia; Myida; Dreissenidae
Exons: 3
Source: RefSeq, a predicted model, not a curated record